RNAcentral lists this ribosomal RNA (253 nucleotides) under uncultured bacterium. RNAcentral describes it as "partial 16S ribosomal RNA". It matches the Rfam family "Bacterial small subunit ribosomal RNA", at positions 524 to 776 of the family's 1533-position model. The record is from RNAcentral.
UACGUAGGGGGCAAGCGUUGUCCGGAAUUAUUGGGCGUAAAGAGCGUGUAGGCGGCCAGAUAAGUCCGCUGUGAAAUCUCGAGGCUCAACUUCGAGCUGCCGGUGGAAACUAUCUGGCUAGAGUCCGGAAGAGGAGAAUGGAAUUCCUGGUGUAGCGGUGAAAUGCGCAGAUAUCAGGAAGAACACCCGUGGCGAAGGCGGUUCUCUGGGACGGUACUGACGCUGAGGAGCGAAAGCCAGGGGAGCAAACGGG